This 377-nucleotide ribosomal RNA is filed under the name uncultured Glomeraceae. RNAcentral's name for it is "LSU rRNA". The record is from RNAcentral. Lineage: Eukaryota; Fungi; Glomeromycota; Glomeromycetes; Glomerales; Glomeraceae.
UUGAAAGGGAAACGAUUGAAGUCAGUCGUACCGACGGAAAAUCAGCUCUUCGAGUGCGGACUUGUGGGCGUACGUGAGCUUUAACCGGCCUCGUCGUUUGCUACGUUUGUGCUUUUUGGGUGUACUUUUUCGUAUGGUAGGCCAACGUCAGUUUCGAUCACCAUAAAAUGAUCGGAGGAAUGUAGCUUCGAUCUUGUAUUGAAGUGUUAUAGCCUUUGGUAGAUGUGGUGACUGAGACUGAGGAUUGCAACGAAUACCCUUUGGGCUAUCCGUCUGACCUCUGAAAGUUGCUUAGGUGCCGAAAGCUUGCUUACGGUCAUCUAUGACGACGGUCAAAAGGUUAGAACGUGAUUAUAUUCGUUAAGGAUGUUGACGUA